RNAcentral lists this long non-coding RNA (5933 nucleotides) under Marmota monax (woodchuck). The stretch from base 5552 to 5620 matches the Rfam family "tRNA". Lineage: Eukaryota; Metazoa; Chordata; Mammalia; Rodentia; Sciuridae. The record is from RNAcentral.
GGGAAACUGAGGACUGAGAAGAAGAGAUUUGCUUGGGGUCUUACAAAUGGUGCUAGAAGUGAUUCAUCAGCCUCUUUUGAGACAGAGUCUCUCAGUGGGACUCUAACCUUGUGGGUUGGAACAUAAGGAUUGGGGGAUGAGCAGUCUGUGGGACAGGCACUAGCUUGGGAUUUCUAGGAGGCCAGAGCUGAAACUCAAACCUUUCAUCCAGCUCGGAGUGCUUCAUUCUACUUAGGAAAAAAUGGUCCUUCUCAGGAUAUUUUACUCCAUCUGCCUGAAAAGUGAGUUAAUAAUUAUGCAAAUUUUGGUGAUUUCGGUGAUGGUGAGGGGACUAGAAUUGUGCAGUGCACAAUACACACAACUGCUAGUGGCUACCCAGCCCUGAAACAGAGGGCGGGUUGUGGCAACUCUGUCCACUUCUCUAUCCCUUCCUUCUCUUCCUUCUGUCCUACAGAGCCAGGGACAAGGGAUAAGAGAGGGAAGGGAGGAGGAAGGCAGUUAGAGAGGGGAAGGAAAGGGUAGGAUUAUUUCUGCACACAUAAACCGAAACCAAAAGUGGAGGCAGGGGUGCUGUGGAAGGCAGACCUGCAGCAAGAUUGGGGGCAGGGUCCUUGCACCUGAUCUCAAGCGCCCUGCUGCAACCUGGGUGCUGCCUGGACCAGUUUGCCCUUCAUGCUGACAAGAAGUGUGUAAGAUGGGUCUGUUUCUAGGAGGAUUCUCAGGCCCCUCCAGCCCUCGCAAAGCCCAGCUCUGGGGUUUGGAAAGGGAAGGAGGGCUCACUUGCUCAGGCUGCCUAGCUCCCUCUGGCCUGAGAGAGGGUGACUCUCUGCCUUGGUGGCUCAAGUGUCGGUGUAGACAUGCAUACACCCACAAGGAUGGGGACAGCUGGCAUCUGUGAGGUCCCUAUUUCCCCAAGUUAUACUUUGGAUAUGUGGUGGAAUGAGAAUUUUUGUGACCUGAGGUCAUUUAGGUGUCAAAAUGUUGGAUUCUUGGAGGCAUUGAUACAUACUCUCUUUUUUUUUUAAUAUAUUUUUGGUUGUAGAUGGACAUAUAACUUUAUUUAUUUAUUCGAUUUUAUGUGGUGCUGAGGAUCAAACCCAGUGCCUCAUACAUGGGAGGCAAGCGCUCCACCACUGAGUUUUAGCCCCAGCCCCGCUGAUUCAUUGUCUCCCUCUCUCUCUUUUUGAUACUAGGAAUUGAACUGAGGGGGCACUCGACCACCGAGCCACAUCCCCAGCCCUAUUUUGUAUUUUAUUUAGAGACUGGGUCUCACUGAGUUGCUCAGCACCUUGCUUUUGCUGAGGCUGGCUUUGAACUCACGAUCCUCCCGUCUCAGCCUCCAGAGCCACUGGGAUUACAGGCAUGCGCCACCGCACCCAGCUCCCACUGAUCCACUGAUAUGAAACAGAAUGUUUGAAGCUUGUUUAAGGUUACCAUUUCUGUGACAUUUCUAUCAAAUGGACCAGUUGUAAACCCAGAUGCCAGCCCUCCCUGGAUGCUUCCUGGGUCUUCUAUGUAGGAGGGGUGCCUAUCCGGGUGCUGUGGCUCCUAGCUCCAGACUGGCCGCCCUUUAAGGCAGAAGACUACAUUUAAUUCACCAUGUCAUCCAUGGCAACAGGAGGCCUUCCUCCCCUCAGGGAUUCUCAGAGAGUGUAAGCUCCAUUUACCCUUCCCAGCUGACACCACCUGUGAGGGUGGAAAGGGCCAGGAAGAAUGGCACAGGGGGGAUGGCCAGAUCGGGGUGCAGGGAACCAGGCUCUACCAUUUCCCAACCCUGUGGCCUGAGGCAAGUGAUAUUUCUCUCUGAGUCUCAGUUUCAUCUGUAAAUGGGAAUGAGUUAAAUAGCUGAGCAUGUACUCUGGGGUAGGCACCGAAUAAAGCUUAUUACUUCCAGUUAUUUAUGCAGAAAGUACUUAGACCUCCAUCAUGCUAGGGACACAAGGGCAGGUAAGGACGUUCCGCCUGGAGAAGUGAGGUGACUGGCUAACAUCACAUGCAGGUGAGUGGCACAGCUUCCACCCAGAGCCACUUUUAAUACAGGCCUCUGUAUGGGAAAGGGCUCGGCAGAGCACUGUUAUCAAUGGAGGCCAGGCCUCGCCAGCCUGGAAGGCCUUGUGGCCUGAGUUCAGGGUCUCAGGCAAUGGGAAUCCAGCCAGAGGGCCCCACACAGGAUGCCACGGGAGGAGGCCUCCCAACCCAGGAUUCUGAAAGACCAUGUCCAACAGGAGGGAAAAGGGCUGCCAAGGACUCCGAGGAAGGGGCUGGGCCACCCCUGAGGAGGUUCUUCACUCAAGGCCUCAUCUGCCCCCACACAGGCCUGGAGCCUACAGGGAAACCAGCCAAGCAAGUGGUGGAAGAGGAAACCUGUCACAUUCAGGGCUGCUUGACCCUCAGCUCCAGCUGAAGGGCAGGGGUCUGGGAGUGCCCUGAAAGCAGGACACUGAUACAGGAACAGUCAGCCUGCUGGGUGCCUCUGAGGAUCGGGUAUCAUUUCCGUUCCCAGUGCCUCAGGGGCUGAGUCCUCUCUUCCACCCCAGACCAGGGACCAGAAGGCAGCCAGCUGCAGGCAAAGGGGUCUGUGACUUAAAUGAGGACCCUUCCUGGCAGACGCUAGCAGACCCAUAGUUCUGCCAGAGGAGAUGUGUACAGCCUUGGGGACUGCACAUGUGCCCCUCCCCAGACCCCCAUAUACACUGAGGGACAGGGAAUUAGGGUCAGGCUGGGUGGAUAUAGGGAUUCCACCCAAAGCGUAAAAGCCUUGCUAAAUACAACAGACCAUGAACAAUGAAGCCACCCUCAUCACCUUCCUCCUACACGCCACAGCAAAUCCUGCUGGUUCCACCUCUACACCAGCCUCUUCUGAUGCUUCCCACAGCCUCUGAGCCUUUUCUAUCUUUCCUGGGAUGAUGCAGCACCCCCUUCACCAGCUUCCCUGUUUCUACCCUUGUCCCCAUGGUCUGUUCUCAACCCAGCAGCCAGAGUGACACUGUUAAAGGUCAUGUCACCACUUAGUUCAGAGCUCUUUAGUCCUCCUCACUCUGGCAAAAGCUGAGUCCCCACCUCCAAACGCUCUCCUCUUUGCUGCUAUUUCAACAUCUCCAUCCCUCUGUUUGCACCAGCUCAGCUUUCUUUUUGUGUGUGUGGGGAGGCAGGGAGGCUGGGAUUGAACCUGGGGUCUUGCCCUUGCUAGACAAGAGCUCUGCAGCUGAGCUACCUACCCAGUCCUUUGUACCAGGGACUGAACCCACGAGCACUUAACCACUGAACCACAUCCCUAGCCCAUUUUUAUUUUUUAUUUCGAGACGGGGUCUCACUAAAUUGCUGAGGCUGACUUUGAACUUGUGAUCCUCCUGCCUCAGCCUCCAGAGCCACUGGGAUUACAGGCGUUUGUCACUGCGUCUGCUUUCCUUUGGUUUCCUUGCUUUUCUUCCAAUAGGUCAGGCACACCCCCCACCUCCAGCCUUUGUGCUGGCAGUUUCCUCUGCCUAGAACAUUCUGCCCAUAGCUAUGACCCUACUGCCUUGCAGCCUGCUCAAAUGUCACUGUGCUUCUCAGCAUUCAACAGAGCACAGCACUCAAAUUAAGUUUAUUCAAGGAUGACUUACAGAUGUGAAAUAUGGAUAAGGAAGCCCCGAGGGACAGUGCAGUGCCAGAGCCCUGAGCUACGGUAGGCUUUGCUAUUCCCAAAUUUGGCCGGAUGUAGCUGCUGCGAUUAGGAAGGAGAGAAUGGUGGGAGUGGAGCACCUGCCAGGAGCCAUGACUCUGUAGGGAGGCGACAGGGAUGAACCCCACCCCUAGCUCAGCCCUCCCCUUUGGCUGAACCCAGCCAGAGCCAGGAUACCAGCCUUCAGGCCAGCUUUCCCUAGGGGUCUGAGGCCAAGUGGAAGUCCCCCAGCAUGGUCACCCUGGGGAAUGAGACCACUUCCUACCCCAACUCCCAAUUCUCCCUCCUUGGCCUAUUUUUCCCCAUAGCACUUGUCUCCCAAUAUAUCUACAUAUUUAUUUUGAUAAUUUUUAUAGCUUAUGUCUGUAAGCUCCAGGAGGGUAGGAAGUUUGUUCUUUUUAAUUCUCUGCUGCAAUCCUUUGAGCUUAGAACACUGACUAGCAUACAGUAAGCACUCAAUAAAUAAUGGCUGGAUAAGUGAAUGCCCACUUGGUCUUCCUGGUAUCCUGGGAAAGCCUUUGGGGCCCACGUGAGCCCCUGCCUGGGGAAGCAGGGCCGAUGCUGCAGUCUGGGGCUCCAGGAUUGGAAAGGAGCCCGCAGAGCUUGGGCUGGGCAGGAAGGCGGGCCUGCAGGACUGUGCCCACAGCAGCCUCCUGUUCCUGUGGUUCUGCAGCAGGUCCCUGCCUCUCCCCAACACUGUGACUUUGAGACCAGUAGGAUUUGCCUCAAAGGCGUCACUGUGCUUGGUCUCUGCAACAAGGUGUGGCUCUGGGAAAUCUCCUACUCAUGAAUCAGCUCUUUGAGGGCACAUCUGGCUCCUCUCCUGGGCCUCCAAGGACUGCUUGCAUGAGGGAGUCCCGCAGCGCGAGGCCAGGAGCUUGGGGUUGUGUUCUAGGCUCUCUGGAAUGCCAGGGGUGCAUUCUUAGGUGCUAGCACCCUGGGGCCUCCUUGGGAAGGCCUGGCCAACCCUCACUAAGCCUCUAUGUCCUCUGGGAAAAAAGAUUCCCUAUGACCCCUUCAGUCAUAGGCUGGGCAUUUUCUCUACUGGAUCUAUAUACUGAGAGUGAUUCUGAUCCAAACACAGAUAGGAUUUGGGGAAGAAGCCUUAGAAAAAUGAACAUUCAUCUGGAAAAAUGAACAUUUGAGACUAGCAUGAAAAUUCUGAAAGAGGAAAGGGAGGUAUCUUCCAAAAUAAAGAAGCCGUAGAGUACAAGACUGAUAAUUUGAACAUGUAAAAAUGAAAAACCUGAAUCAAAAAGGUUAUCAAAGAACAAAGUCGGAACUGGGUGUAGUGAUGUUCCUGUAAUCCCAGCAACUCAGGAGGCUGAGGCAGGAGGUUUGAAAGUUUGAGGCCAGCCUGGGCAACUUAGUGAGACCUUAUCUCAAAAAAAUAAAAUAAGGGGCUGGGGAUGUGGCUCAAGCGGUAGCACGCUUGCCUGGCAUGCGUGCGGCCCGGGUUUGAUCCUCAGCACCGCAUACAAACAAACAAACAAAAAAAAAAAGAUGUUGUGUCCGCCGAAAACUAAAAAAUAAAUAUUAAAAAUUCUCAUUCUCUCUCUCUCUCUCUUUAAAAAAUAAAAUAAAAAAUAAAAGGGCUGGCUAUGUAGCUCAGUUUUAAAGCCCCUUUAGGAUCAAUCCCCGGUACAUCUCCCUAAAUAAAUUAAUAAAUAAAUACCAUACAUACAUGACCACUACAAAAAACUAUUUGCAAUCAUUAUAAGAUAAAGGGGUACUCUUUAAGUAAUAUUUGAAAAAAGGGCAACCAAAUUCAAAUGCAGUCCAAGAAUGUUAGCAGAAAAUUCAUAAGAAAAGAAAAAUUUUAAACAGUAAAUACAUGAAAAGAUGCUCACUUGCACUCAUCAUUAAAGAAACAUAAAGCAAAUGCUGAGGAUGUAGCUCAAUGGUAGAGUGCUUGGCUAGCAUGCAUGAGGCCCUGAAUUUAAUUUUCAGUGCCUAAAAAAAAGUCUAACAACAAAAUAACAAAGAAAUCCCAUUUCAACUGCCAGACUGGAACUAAUUCUUUAGUCAAAGUGAAAAUAACAGUAUUUGGAAUAGUAUCCACAUUUAAAUUUACCCUUUGACUAAAGAAUUGAGACUUCUACAAAUCUAACCUAUGGAAAUACUUGCACAGUGCACAAAAACUUCCAUGCUGAAAAAGUGCAACACAGCUCUGCUCACAAACAGCACGAAACUAGAAAUAAUCCACGUUAUGUGAAUCUGCAAUUUGUAUACAGGGUAAAAAUGGGAGUUCAUAAUCCGUGUAUGAAAU